GACGUCCCCUUCGGGGGCAGAGUGACAGGUGGUGCAUGGUUGUCGUCAGCUCGUGUCGUGAGAUGUUGGGUUAAGUCCCGCAACGAGCGCAACCCUUGAUCUUAGUUGCCAGCAUUCAGUUGGGCACUCUAAGGUGACUGCCGGUGACAAACCGGAGGAAGGUGGGGAUGACGUCAAAUCAUCAUGCCCCUUAUGACCUGGGCUACACACGUGCUACAAUGGACAGAACAAAGGGCAGCGAAACCGCGAGGUUAAGCCAAUCCCACAAAUCUGUUCUCAGUUCGGAUCGCAGUCUGCAACUCGACUGCGUGAAGCUGGAAUCGCUAGUAAUCGCGGAUCAGCAUGCCGCGGUGAAUACGUUCCCGGGCCUUGUACACACCGCCCGUCACACCACGAGAGUUUGUAACACCCGAAGUCGGUGAGGUAACCUUUUAGGAGCCAGCCGCCGAAGGUGGGACAGAUGAUUGGGGUGAAGUCGAAACAAGGUAGCCGUAUCGGAAGGUGCGGCUGGAUCACCUCCUU
This 522-nucleotide ribosomal RNA is filed under the name Enterococcus faecalis. RNAcentral's name for it is "bacterial SSU rRNA". It matches the Rfam family "Bacterial small subunit ribosomal RNA", at positions 1010 to 1532 of the family's 1533-position model. Lineage: Bacteria; Bacillati; Bacillota; Bacilli; Lactobacillales; Enterococcaceae. The record is from RNAcentral.